This 285-nucleotide ribosomal RNA is filed under the name Pseudo-nitzschia sp. RCC5286. Its description in RNAcentral is "partial small subunit ribosomal RNA". It matches the Rfam family "Eukaryotic small subunit ribosomal RNA", at positions 777 to 1066 of the family's 1831-position model. Lineage: Eukaryota; Bacillariophyta; Bacillariophyceae; Bacillariales; Bacillariaceae. The record is from RNAcentral.
AAAGCAGGCUUAUGCCGUUGAAUAUAUUAGCAUGGAAUAAUGAUAUAGGACCUUGGUACUAUUUGUUGGUUUGCGCACUAAGGUAAUGAUUAAGAGGGACAGUUGGGGGUAUUGUAUUCCAUUGUCAGAGGUGAAAUUCUUGGAUUUUGGAAGACAAACUACUGCGAAAGCAUUUACCAAGGAUGUUUUCAUUAAUCAAGAACGAAAGUUAGGGGAUCGAAGAUGAUUAGAUACCAUCGUAGUCUUAACCAUAAACUAUGCCGACAAGGGAUUGGCGGAGUCUCG